Molecule: long non-coding RNA, 506 nt
Organism: Choloepus didactylus (southern two-toed sloth)
Lineage: Eukaryota; Metazoa; Chordata; Mammalia; Pilosa; Megalonychidae
Exons: 3
Source: RefSeq, a predicted model, not a curated record
UAAUAAAAGUCUAUCCAUUUCUGGUAUCUUUCAUAACAGCAGCCUUAGCAAAUUGGAACAACCCCCAUCCCAGUAUCAAGAGUAAGAAGGUCUUCACAACUCUAAGUAAAAAAGAAGAUAUGAAUACUUUCAUCGUAAAAACAAGAACAUGAAAAUCAUUGAGUUUUUCUCCCUGGUCCAAGAUCCUUGCAGAUUUGGAAAGCCCCAGGUCAUCUUUUACUUCCAGGAGGAGAUGCUGGGUAAGGAAGAGAGAAGGAAUGAAGCUUGAUUUCUCCAUGGCAGGUCACCUGAGUCUGGGCUCAAUUUCUCUUCCUGGGGACUUGCCCAAUACUAACAUCUCAGCUGUGCCAAGUUCUGUGAUUCCCUGCCCAUUUACCUGGGACCUUGAUUAGUUUACUAGAGCACCAUAUAAGCUCAGACAGAAGGAGCAAGCUUGCUACAUACAAGAGGGACACUUUGAGGAACACACAGGAACUGAAAGAGGAGCUGCAGCUUAUAGAGACAUU